UGGGCUGAAAGGAAAAGAGCAAAAAGACACGGCAGAAAAAAGUGAAAAAUUCACGAAAAUUUCAGGUAAGAUCUUGGUUAAACUAAUGUAAUAAUUUUAAAAAUAAUGAAGGUAAUCUAAAUACAAAUAGAAAAGUAAUUAACCUCACAAGUGUUUGGUUUACAGCAUUUGCCAAGUGAAAAGGUUCUUUGUGGUGCUCCUGUGAAGGUAAGUCUUUCAGCUGAGAGCUGAAUACCUGUGUGGGUCACCGGCAGGCCACUGUGUGUAGAAAACUCCACAGUCAUUCUCCAAAAAAGAUAAAAGGAGGCUUUUUUCCCUGCACUUCCAAGGGAGUAUAUGUUGUUUGUUCUUUGUCCUUCUCACACAGAAAUCAUUGUCUGUGCUACUGAAGCACACCCAAGACUUUUCUAAUUAAAAAAACCCUGCAGCUGAAACUGGAAGAUGAGCUCUGGACAAUCAGCUAACAGCUGGAAAAGAUGAGCAUCUGAAUCAGACCCAUCUUGAAUACUCCUUAAAGCCAACCAAGUAACCACACCUACCCAUCUCCAAAAUCCCAGUUGUAGACAAAUGAUGCUGACUUGAAGUAAUGACUUGGGUCAUGAAGAGAGAAGGAAAUCCGGGUCACUGUGCCUGUGGAGGAACUAGAACCCCAUGUGACAACUUCACUGUCUUCUAUCUGGGCAAUGGUGAGAUUCCCUGUGAUAAAUUCUGCAGAAUAAUAAGGUGGGAAAAGAAUGACAGUAUAUGUCACUUCCAUAACAUACUUUGUGUGUGUAUCAAAACAUUACUGCUUAAGUUUUUCUGUGUCCUACUCCAAGUGGUUAAGUGUAUUUUAUAUCUAUUAUUCAGUGUUGUUACAUAUGUUAAUGAGGCAGUGAAAUUAAAAUACUCAUUUAGGGUUAUACAGUGGGUCAUGAUAAAACUUCUAAUAGAACUAAGAAAUCUUGGACUGAUUAAGGUCAGUAUAAACUUUUACUCUUGAUGUAAAAACAAGUGGGAUUAACAAUGAGUAUCUAGAUUUAGAACCAAACCACCAUACACACCCUUCAUGUUUGGGGUGCUGGGGUUUAUUUGUUUGUUUAGGGAGGUUUUCUAUAUUGCUGGGUUUUUGUUUUUUAGUUUUUAGCUAUUUCUACAUAAAUUAAAAUUUGACUGUGACGAAGAACAGAGCUCUAUAUAUUGUGAAUACAGAAAGGAUUAAGGUUUGAUGUCUAUGAGAGGUUUUAUAUUGGAAUUUGUUUACGAGGCUGAUCUAAAAGGAACUCUCUAAUCUGUGAAUAAAGAGGUAUUAUGAUGACACAGCGGAAA
Molecule: long non-coding RNA, 1308 nt
Organism: Pseudopipra pipra
Lineage: Eukaryota; Metazoa; Chordata; Aves; Passeriformes; Pipridae
Exons: 2
Source: RefSeq, a predicted model, not a curated record